Molecule: ribosomal RNA, 523 nt
Filed under: uncultured archaeon
Lineage: Archaea
Description: bacterial SSU rRNA
Rfam family: Archaeal small subunit ribosomal RNA
Source: RNAcentral
CCCUACGGGGUGCAGCAGGCGCGAAACCUCCGCAAUGCACGGAAGUGCGACGGGGGGACCCCAAGUGCCACUCUUAACGGGGUAGCUUUUCUUGAGUGUAAAAAGCUUUUGGAAUAAGGGCUGGGCAAGACCGGUGCCAGCCGCCGCGGUAACACCGGCAGCUCAAGUGGUAGCCAUUUUUAUUGGGCCUAAAGCGUUCGUAGCCGGUUUGAUAAGUCUCUGGUGAAAUCCUAUGGCUUAACUGUGGGAAUUGCUGGAGAUACUAUUAGACUUGAGGUCGGGAGAGGUUAGCGGUACUCCCAGGGUAGGGGUGAAAUCCUGUAAUCCUGGGAGGACCACCUGUGGCGAAGGCGGCUAACUGGAACGAACCUGACGGUGAGGGACGAAAGCCAGGGGCGCGAACCGGAUUAGAUACCCGGGUAGUCCUGGCCGUAAACGAUGUGGACUUGGUGUUGGGAUGGCUUCGAGCUGCCCCAGUGCCGAAGGGAAGCUGUUAAGUCCACCGCCUGGGAAGUACGGUCNC